GACGAACGCUGGCGGCGUGCUUAACACAUGCAAGUCGAACGGAAAGGCCCUGCUUUUGUGGGGUGCUCGAGUGGCGAACGGGUGAGUAACACGUGAGUAACCUGCCCUUUACUUUGGGAUAACUUCAGGAAACUGGGGCUAAUACCGGAUAGGAGCUCCUGCUUCAUGGUGGGGGUUGGAAAGUUUCGGCGGUUGGGGAUGGACUCGCGGCUUAUCAGCUUGUUGGUGGGGUAGUGGCUUACCAAGGCUUUGACGGGUAGCCGGCCUGAGAGGGUGACCGGCCACAUUGGGACUGAGAUAAGGCCCAGACUCCUACGGGAGGCAGCAGUGGGGAAUAUUGCAAAAUGGGCGGAAGCCUGAUGCAGCAACGCCGCGUGCGGGAUGACGGCCUUCGGGUUGUAAACCGCUUUCGCCUGUGACGAAGCGUGAGUGACGGUAAUGGGUAAAGAAGCACCGGCUAACUACGUG
Molecule: ribosomal RNA, 468 nt
Filed under: uncultured bacterium
Lineage: Bacteria
Description: partial 16S ribosomal RNA
Rfam family: Bacterial small subunit ribosomal RNA
Source: RNAcentral